Molecule: long non-coding RNA, 479 nt
Organism: Salvelinus fontinalis (brook trout)
Lineage: Eukaryota; Metazoa; Chordata; Actinopteri; Salmoniformes; Salmonidae
Exons: 3
Source: RefSeq, a predicted model, not a curated record
UCUGGGUACAUCUCUGUAUCCUCCCGCUUCAAAUCCCCAACUUCUGCCUCGCUCCACACACACUGACCCCCCGGGACCACAGGGCCAGGCACUGCAGAGAUGGACACAGUCACUGAGGACUGAGGAGAGAGGGAUGGCUGGGAAGUAGCUCGUGGGAACCUGAACUGGAUAAGCUGGGUAAAUGUCAGAACAAGCUGCAGCUCUUCCCGGACCACGCAGUGGGAGACAGACCAACCUCAUCGCCUUGGCAACCCCUCUGUUCACUCUUCAAAGGACGAGUCAAGGGAGGAGAAGAAAGGCGCUUUUAUGCUCCCGACCUCCCUGCACCCCCUCCCCCAGCCCUCCUCCCACCACGAUGCACUGUUAGCCCAGGCUCUGGCACAUGUGGAUGGGUUCCCAGGCCUCAACUUAAAAAAAAAAUAUAUUCCUUAUCUUACCAGGUGAGUUGACUGAGAAUACAUUCUCACUUACACCAAUGA